GACAAGGAUUUAGGGUACUCUUUUUUUUUUUUUUUAUUUUCUCUUUCCUUCCAAAAUACAAGUGUCCGUAAGUAAAAAUUUAAAUUGUGUACAGUGCAACAUUAUUAUUUGUUGUUUGUGAUUUUACUUAUAUUAAUUCUCAAACUUGCUUAUGACUUUAAACUCGGGAUUUGUAGCUGAUCUUAGACCUUGAUAAUCAAAAUUUGCUAGCAUUUGUCGACAU
RNAcentral lists this long non-coding RNA (223 nucleotides) under Vigna radiata. Its description in RNAcentral is "long non-coding RNA (VRAD_LNC007055)". Lineage: Eukaryota; Viridiplantae; Streptophyta; Magnoliopsida; Fabales; Fabaceae. The record is from RNAcentral.